CCUACGGGGGGCAGCAGUGAGGAAUAUUGGUCAAUGGCCGGAAGGCUGAACCAGCCAAGCCGCGUGAAGGACGAAGGUGCCAAGCAUUGUAAACUUCUUUUGUCAAGGGACAAAAUCAGGCUCGAGAGCCUGACCGAGGGUACUUGAAGAAAAAGCAUCGGCUAACUCCGUGCCAGCAGCCGCGGUAAUACGGAGGAUGCGAGCGUUAUCCGGAUUUACUGGGUGUAAAGGGAGCGUAGACGGCUAGUCAAGUCAGAAGUGAAAGCCCAGGGCUCAACCUUGGGACUGCUUUUGAAACUGAGUAGCUAGAGUGCAGGAGAGGUAAGCGGAAUUCCUAGUGUAGCGGUGAAAUGCGUAGAUAUUAGGAGGAACACCAGUGGCGAAGGCGGCUUACUGGACUGUAACUGACGUUGAGGCUCGAAAGCGUGGGGAGCAAACAGGAUUAGAUACCCUUGUAGUC
RNAcentral lists this ribosomal RNA (460 nucleotides) under uncultured bacterium. RNAcentral describes it as "partial 16S ribosomal RNA". It matches the Rfam family "Bacterial small subunit ribosomal RNA", at positions 338 to 795 of the family's 1533-position model. The record is from RNAcentral.